Molecule: long non-coding RNA, 715 nt
Filed under: Elaeis guineensis (African oil palm)
Lineage: Eukaryota; Viridiplantae; Streptophyta; Magnoliopsida; Arecales; Arecaceae
Description: long non-coding RNA (EGUI_LNC010699)
Source: RNAcentral
AAAAAAAAAUUGCAAUUCGAAGAGGGUAAUCAAAGGGAAGUACAAAGAAAGGAAAAUUACGGGUCUGGAGAUCUACCCUUUUUGGGUUUCCCUGAGGACUUGGGUGGGGCCAAGGCUUUUACGGCGAGAGGCCUCGGAGUGCGAAGAAGAGAGGGUCCGCCGCGGAGAAGUGGACGGAAGGAAGAGGAGAAGGAAGGGAGGAAAGUGGAGGAGAGGUGGGGUUUGCAGACGGACGGCGAGGGGACGCAGGGGAGUGAGAGAGAGCUCGACAUGGCGGUCGCCAUGUGUGGGAGGGAGGAAGGGACGGUGAGAGGACUGGAUAAACCUGGGAGAUGGAUUCGUCUGCUAUCUAAGCUUGGAUGCGGGAUUUGGGUUUGGAUUUGGGUCAAAAUCCUCAACAUUGCCCCGACCCGUUUGAUUAUUGGAUUGAAAGAAAGGAGAUAUUGUAUCUCCCUCCCUACCCCGCUUCGUGUUUGUUCAUUCGUUUGAUGAUGCAAUAGUUUAUUCUGAGGACCGGUCCUCCCAAACAACCUCCCCGGAAUGAUUGGCUAUAUAAAAUGCCACUAAAUCCGUAGCACCAUUCACCCCUUGGUUUCGCUUGAAAUCCUAAGUUCCUGGUAAUCUUUGAAAUAUCCAACAAUGGUUGGCGGGCAUCUAUGGCAGCUCGAUGCUUCAAUGAUCACGUUAUUCUUGAAUCAUCUUCUAAGAUAACACU